UUACAAGAAGAAUACUUCGAAAUAUCUGUAAUAUAGAAAAUUAUCGAUGUAUUUAAAUUAUAUGAUCACAAGACCGGUAACUUGACAUUCGCAACAUAAACGAAUUUGAUUGGUUGAUUUUGAAAAAUUCAAUAUAUUCAUAAAAACAAGCAUGGAUAUUGGUUAUAUCUCAGGUAAGGUUAUAUAACAUUGCGUGAUGGUGAAUAAUGGAAGGGAGUAUUCCCCUUCUCUAGACUGUCUCAGCUCGAGCAUUAUUAGUUCUACACAUGAUAGAGUAACUGCGGAACGUAGUGACAUUGCUGUAUGAUUAUGGUUAUUGCAAAUAUAUAUAGUAUUCCAAAUAAAUAUUGGCAACCAUCAUUUGUAGCAUUUAAGAUGAUCAUGGGUAAAAUAGUGAUUAAACUAUAUUGGAAGCAUAUAUCAUUUAUAUGAGGAAGAAAUUUUUUUUGAACAAUAUGGGAAUAAUAUUUCAUAAAAUUCUCUUAAAUUUUAUGAUAUAAG
Apis florea (little honeybee) is the source of this 501-nucleotide long non-coding RNA. The record is from RefSeq and is a predicted model, not a curated record. Lineage: Eukaryota; Metazoa; Arthropoda; Insecta; Hymenoptera; Apidae.